RNAcentral lists this ribosomal RNA (301 nucleotides) under uncultured bacterium. Its description in RNAcentral is "partial 16S ribosomal RNA". It matches the Rfam family "Bacterial small subunit ribosomal RNA", at positions 509 to 807 of the family's 1533-position model. The record is from RNAcentral.
CAGCAGCCGCGGGAAAACGGAGGGGGCUAGCGUUGUUCGGAAUUACUGGGCGUAAAGCGCACGUAGGCGGCUUGGUAAGUUAGAGGUGAAAGCCCGGAGCUCAACUCCGGAAUUGCCUUUAAGACUGCCGAGCUAGCAGGUGAGAGAGGUAAGUGGAAUUCCGAGUGUAGAGGUGAAAUUCGUAGAUAUUCGGAAGAACACCAGUGGCGAAGGCGGCUUACUGGCUCAUACUGGACGCUGAGGUGCGAAAGCGUGGGGAGCAAACAGGAUUAGAUACCCCAGUAGUCCCUGUCUCUUAUAC